Molecule: long non-coding RNA, 1780 nt
Organism: Saccostrea cuccullata (small rock oyster)
Lineage: Eukaryota; Metazoa; Mollusca; Bivalvia; Ostreida; Ostreidae
Exons: 8
Source: RefSeq, a predicted model, not a curated record
UCGAAAUCUUGUGAUGUAUAUUCGAAAUCUUGUGAUGUAUGUUCGAUAAUCUUGUGAUGUAUAUUCGAAAUCUUGUGAUGUAUGUUCGAUAAUCUUGUGAUGUAUAUUCGAAAUCUUGUGAUGUGUGUUCUACAAUUCAGUGAUGCGUGCAAUAAAAUUGCAUGACGCAACAGAAAAGUAAGGACAAUUUUCAUUGGUUAGAAAUAACGAAAGUAGCCGGAGCGGUCGUAAUGCACACAUUGACACAACUUCGCAAGCAUGAAAUUGGCGAAUUCAACCUAAAGUCAAAAUUAUAGGAACUUUACAUAGGUCUACAGUUUUAAUUUUGGACUCAUGCACUAGGAAUAUCAUAUCAGCAGAAUUGUGCCACUGAAUCAAAGGGAACUCUUUUUUUUUUAGUAGCCUCCCCUUUUAAAGAUCCAAAAUGGUGAUUUUACAGUGCGGCAUGCAGUCUGGUCAUCAACGAAGAGUUUUGACACCUGUAAUACCCAUAUUUCUACCAUUCACCUCUGUAACCUUUGUUGAGUUCAUCAGACUGUCCAAGACAGGAAGUUGAGGAAUAAAGUUGACAGGACAUCCUGAACUGUCCUCGCUACCAGCUUAUGAGGGAACCAGCUGCAGUGGACAAAGUACGUUACAUCAUAGGAUAAUAGCAUUGAAUUGGAUUCUUGAACCAGAGCCAUGUGAACCUGGUCCACCUGUACCUCUCAUUGAAGACCUGUUAACAUCACCAGAGUAUGUUCAUUCUGAUACCCCUAUGGUAUGGUUACAGCAUGCAUUAUCCCUGAAUCCAUUAAAAGAGCUGCAUUGGCAACGAAACAACCCAAUGUGGUCGAUUGUAAGGAAAUAAAGCAUAUCAGCUUCCAACUUUGGUGCAGUUCUCAGUUCUAAGCAAAGGCGAUUGACAUUGUCACUGAAGAAACAGCUGAUGUCGGCUUACAAUCUGGAGUCCAUCAAGGCUGUUGCAUGCGGUAUCACUCAUGAAGAUGAUGCUUUGAGAAAGUAUGAAAAGGACUUUGAUGCAGCUGUAGAGCAGUCAGGAUAUGGUUGCAUGAAUCCGGAGUGUUGGGAGCUUCACCUGAUGGCUUAGUUGUUCGACCACCAACAUGCAGUGUAUUUUAUCAAACUCCAGAAGCCAAAGACGCCAUUCCUGAUAUUGUAGAGGUGAAGUGUCCAUAUACAGCAUCGUCUUCAACAGUAGCAGAUGGGGCACAAAAUUUGAAGGAUUUUUCAUAGAUCUUAAACAAGAUACCCUGUGCCUGAAAACCAGUCACCCAUACUAUCAUCAAAUUCAAGGCCAGCUACACAUAUGUAUUAACAAAACAUUCUGCGACUUAAUUGUGUGGACAAGAGUAGACUGCAUUGUGAUUAGAAUAGUAAAAGACAUUGAAUGGACAGCAAAUGUUCCAAAGCUGAUAGAUUUCUACAUUAACAUUUUCAUUCCAGCACUGAUGGAAAACUGAGUUCUGGUUUGAACUUCUUGACACUUAGUUUUGUACCUCUAGAAUUUUCUAACAAUGGAAAAUGGGUAAUCAUGUUAAAUGUGUUGAAUGUUCCUAAGUCUCAUAAAUGUAUGACAUGAUAUGUCACAAUCCAUCAUAAAACUUCUGGCUUAUAAGACUAUUUUAAAUAGCAAUGAUGAUUAAUAAAAUCUAUGUACUACAUAAAAAAAGAAUAUCAAAAUUUAGAAUCAUUUUAUUAAUGAAUUGAAGAUGUUAUUCUCAAAGUGAAAAUGUAACAUUUUUGUCUUUCUUAAUAGAUAAAUUGUUGAAAACAUGAA